AUGUCUACUGCUUCUGUCAAUGCCAUAGUAGAUUCAAUCGAAACUGAUAUAUCUGAACAACAAUUGUUUCAUUUCGAUCAUAUAACAUUAUUUUUGCUGAAAAAUCACAAUGUUUUCUUCAAGUUUGUGGGUGUUUUCCCUGAUCUGUUUGCAACUUGGCAUGAGAGUCCGUUUAUGCAUGUAGUUAUUUUGGUCCAGAAAUCGACCAUGGAUGAUGCUUCUUAUUUUGAAGAGACUAAGUUCUUCCGAGCCUCCGAUAAAAUAAAUAAAGAGGACUUUAAUGAGAUGAUGCUUCUUAUUUAA
RNAcentral lists this ribosomal RNA (303 nucleotides) under Triticum aestivum (bread wheat). RNAcentral's name for it is "partial small subunit ribosomal RNA". The record is from RNAcentral. Lineage: Eukaryota; Viridiplantae; Streptophyta; Magnoliopsida; Poales; Poaceae.